AUUGAACGCUGGCGGCAUGCUUUACACAUGCAAGUCGAGCGGUAACAGGCCUUCGGGUGCUGUCGAGUGGCGAACGGGUGAGUAAUGCAUCGGAACGUACCCAGAGGUGGGGGAUAACGCAGCGAAAGCUGUGCUAAUACCGCAUGUGAUCUGAGGAUGAAAGCGGGGGACCGAGCAGCAAUGUUUGGCCUCGCGCCUUUGGAGCGGCCGAUGUCGGAUUAGCUAGUUGGUGGGGUAAAGGCCUACCAAGGCGACGAUCCGUAGCUGGUCUGAGAGGACGACCAGCCACACUGGGACUGAGACACGGCCCAGACUCCUACGGGAGGCAGCAGUGGGGAAUUUUGGACAAUGGGCGCAAGCCUGAUCCAGCAAUGCCGCGUGCGGGAAGAAGGCCUUCGGGUUGUAAACCGCUUUUGGCAGGAACGAAACGGUGUCCGCUAAUACCGGGCGCUAAUGACGGUACCUGCAGAAUAAGCACCGGCUAACUACGUG
Molecule: ribosomal RNA, 492 nt
Filed under: uncultured bacterium
Lineage: Bacteria
Description: partial 16S ribosomal RNA
Rfam family: Bacterial small subunit ribosomal RNA
Source: RNAcentral